GCUAAAUGAUAAACCAAUAUUUAAACUUUAUAUUUCAUCAUUUUAUAUUUCUUUUCUUGUCUAAUUUAUUUGAAAGCUUUAAGUAUUUAUGAUACUUUUGAUAUAUUGUGUUUGUAGGAGUAACAUGAUCCAAAGAACUUAUUUUUCUGCUAUGUGGGGCUGCUAGAAACUAAAUGAAAAUAAAAGGAGAGCAUCGGGAGGAGAAUAUAGAGGAAAGCAAGCUGCCUUUGCAGCUGGAGGAAAGCAGGUCAGCGACAAAGGGAUCCAAGUGUCACGGGAUGACUCUUUAAGCCUUCCGCCCGUGCGGCACUUAGACUUGAAUACCUCGAUGAACAAGCUAAGUAAGCCUUCGAAGCCUCGCUUCCCCGGAUCGAAUCACAAAGAAAGCUAAGAUAGCUUGGAGAAUGCUAAGAUCACUUAGAAGAUGGGAGAAAGGAAGCUUUGUAUUGAAAGUUAAGAGAACUUUACAAUUACUUACAAUUCUUGGAUGGUUUGGCCAAAUGGCCUUACCUCCUAUUUAUAGGCCUAAGUCACCUCCUCAAUGGAGGGUUCUAGAAUCCCCUACUUACAUCCAAAAAUAUCUAGCAUAGUUCUAGAUACAACUUGCCUAAUCUAGAUUAUUCUAGGUGAGGCUUAAAUAUGUACACUUGUGUGGAAUGUUCCGGAAUGCCCUAAGAUUAUCUUGAAUGCUCCGCCACGUUCUUGAUUUCUCCGGGACGUUCCAGAAGCUUCCAUGAAGACAUGGCUUCAUGGGCUUAGAUAUGAUGUCUUGGGCAUUUUCUUUGUUUUUAACACAUGGCCCGUGACACAAGGAAGUCAGAAGAAUUAGGGGACAGCAACUGGCAAAGCAGAGAAAAUGGAGGAGUCCACACGGGGGACGGAAAAAGAAUCCAAAGAAGGGGAAAAAGACUGACAGCUCGCAGAAGAAGGGGGGCCUCGGUGAGAAAGGAUAAGAAGACGCAGGAGAAGAGAGAGAGAGAGUAGGGCGGUCUUGGGAGCUGGAGAAGGGGCGCUGCCUUUGGCAGCGAGAGAGGAUUGCAGGGAGGCUGCUUUGGAGCAGCGUGAGAAAAGAAAGAAAAAAAAAACAGAAUAAAAAAAUAAAAGAAAGGCAGACUGCUGCCUUGCGGCAGCAGAAAACCGAAGAGGAGAGAAGCAGGAAGCUGCCUUAGGCAGCGUGAGGGCAGAAGAACAGAGGCAGGGGAGAGACUGACGCGAGAGGACAGGGAAGACUAAGUGUGCGAAAAAAAAAAAAGAAAUAAGAAGAUAGAAGCAGAGAGACUGACGAGAGAGGCAGUGUGCAGAAAACAGAGAGGACAGACCGAGGGCAGAAGCAGCAAGCACUCUCCUCUCUCUCGGUUAAAUCUUUCUAAAUCUAUAUUUUAUUUCUGUUUUAAUAAUGUGUAAUUAAAUUUUAUUUUGGCUAGAGGUUAAUUCAAAACCAUGAAUAUAUUUGUAAUAUGAAUUGAUUACCUUCGGUUGUGAUUUCAUAAGUUGUGAUUUCAAUUUACUUAUCCGUUCGUAUAAAAACUGAUUUGUGUAUGUUGGUUGAGAGUGCACGCUUAAUUUACAUGCAUGAAUUUGAUGCUAGAAUAUAAGUGAAUUUCACCUAAUCGUUAUGAACUUAUUUUCACAAGUAGUAAAGGUUGCUAGUCACAAUCACGUUAAGUAAAUUCUUGGCAAGAGUAUCAUGCUUUUCAUAGUUACGAAUGCCUCGUCAAUGCUUAUAGGUUUCACAAAGUUUAAUGAUCUUUGAUUGUAUCUCUAUUGUGCUUUUCACGUAGGGGACUUUUGAAGAAUGUUUUGAAUUGUUGUAUGCGUUUUCCCGUCCAAUUCAAUAACUUAAGGAAAACUUGAAGAUUAAAAAAGUGCUGUUCACGGUUAAUCUGGAGUAUUGAAAUUUACAAUUUAUUAAAAGAACAACUGGAAAUCAUUUUGUAUGCAAGUAUAACAUGUGUGGAGAAGAACCCUCUAGCUAGUCCGUCAUUUAUCAUUUUUACCUUAAUUUUAUGUUUUUUGUCAAUUCUGUAAUUUAAUUAAGUUUAAUUUACUUUUCAUCAAAAACCAAACACCCAUCCAUUAUUAAAUUAUAUUAUUUAGUUAGUUUUCUUUAUUGUUAGUCUUUUAAUUUAAUUUCCGUCCAUUUCAGUUCCUAGUGUUUAAUUUAAUUGUUUUCAUUAUUUUGAGUCAUUUUAAGUGUGUUUCGAGUUAUUAGAGUUUUUAGCCUAAUUUUGUGUCCUUGAGUCUUAUUUAAUAUUUUUAAAUUAAUUUAGAAUAGAUUAGCAAUCCCUCCUAAUCCCCGGCCUAGAACGAUACCCUACUUACAUCUAUACUACAAUUGUCAAAAAGAGGGUUUAAUUUUGUGUGUUAAUUAUUUUACGCAUCAAAUUUUGGCGCCGUUGCCGGGGAUUAGUAACUUUGCUAAUCCUUUUAUUUUUGUUUUUGUUUAUGUUUAUAUUGGUGUUUGUGUAUUUUACUUUUGAUAUUUGAUUUAUUUUUCUUUCUUUGAUUUUAGGUUCAAAUGGAGCCGAGGGAAAUUUAAAGGAAAGAUGCGUCCGGCUAAAGACGUUAAAUCAAGCGCUUCUUGGGAGGCAACCCAAGCAUUCAACAAAGGGAGACUUUGGAAUCACUAACCCAAUCAGCUUUGCAUUCUUCCACCCUUAUCUUUACUGCUUUCAUUUUGUUUUGUUUAGUUAGUUGUGUUAUUUGGUUGAUUUCUGUAAGUUUGUGUUAUUUAGUUUAAGUGUGGGGGAAGGUUAACCAAAGUCUCUUUACAUUAAUUUACAUAUAUAAAAUAAAAAUAAAAUAAAAAAAAAAGAUAAAAUUUAAAAUUAAUGAUAAAAAAAAAAAAAAAUUACAUAAAAAAAAAAUAAUAAAAAAAAAAUUUAAAUAAAAAAAAAUUAAAAAAAAAAAAAAAAAAAAGUACAAAUAUUUUACAAUGAUGUAAACUAAUAGUAUUCAUUGGUCGGGUGGUGCUUCAGUAGUAGGCGGGGCUUCAGCAGUCGGCGGGGCCACAGAAGGAGGAGGCAGCAGAGGUUGAUCAGUUGGAGCUUCACUACGCGGUGCCGCUCCAGAAGACGAAGGCAGAUGCGGUUGGAACAAACCCACAAACCUCCGAUGAUCAAGUAAAAUUUGACCAUCGGUGUCCUGCAUCUGGUCAAUCUUCCUCUUCAUGCUGGUGGCAUAGCUGUGUGCGAGCUUGUGCAAUUCCUUAUUCUCAUGCUUGAGCCCUUUAAUCUCUUGCUUGAGACUCUGUAUUUCAGCCACCAAGGAUUCAACGUGACGGGUUCGGGCAUAUAGGCGUUGGGCCAUGUUGGAUACGGAACCCGCACACUGCACGCUAAGAGCCAGAGACUCCUUAACCGCCAAUUCAUCAGACCGCCUAGCGAGCAGUCUGUUAUCUCUGGGAGUGACAAGGUUUCGGGCCACCACCGCAGCUGUCAUAUCAUUUUUUAUCACCGAAUCCCCCACGGUAAGGGGACCGGUAGGGGAUAUGAAGGAUGGCCGCCAUAUGUUGUCUGGUGAAGGCGGAGCUGCCUCUUCACCAAUGUUCAAGUCAAAACGACGAUCAGAAGGGCCAGACAUUUUUCAGAGGUGGUAAAGAAAGAAGAGAGUCGGAAUGAUCAAGAUUAAACAAGUGCAAGAAGGGAGUGUUUAUAGGAGGGUACUCAAGUGUGUUGUGGAACAAAAUUAACGCCUCUAUAAAAAGAAGAAAUCAAAGAGGCACUCCUCAGAGAGGCGUCCUUUCGCAAAUCGAAGAGUCGGGGCACCUUUCUCAAAAGCCGGAUUCUUUUCUCAAAAGAGGAGUUUCCGUUCUCAAAAGUCGGAUUCUUUUCUCAAAAGAGGCGUUCAUUUCUUAAAAGUUGGGCUUGCUCAGAAACCACGAGCCGAACCCCGGAUUUCGCAAGAUCAAUUCGUCCAGACGUGUUGUCACCCGUCACACGCAAACUCAGCUCUGCGAAAAUCACGGGCAGUCUGUCGAAGUGCCGAUUCCAACCAUCUGUCUCUCUCUGCCUAGUCAGCAUUUGUCACAUGCAACUGGCAGCUUUGCGGAAAUUACGGGCAGCUUUGUCAGAAAAGCGCGUAAUUUGUACUAUUCAUCCAUCCACCGGCUGCCGACAAUGAGUGAGAGAACAGUUCCGGUUGUGAAGACAAGUCCUAUAAGUUUCUACCUUCGCCUUCCACAGCAAAAGCACACUCUCUCAGCACACCCUUUCAACACUUCUUCAUAUCCGAAAAUGCAUUCCCAAAGAAUCCUCUCGAGCCACUCUGUGUUCCUCAUUCCUUGGGGAUACUCCUGCGAACAACCCAUUCAAAGCAAAAGUAUUUCAUAUCAUAAAGGUUGAAAGCAAGAGUAUCUCAUAUCAUGCUUUCUCCAUGUCCUUCUCCUUGUCUUUGUUUUCCGACAAGGAGAAAGAGAGCAAUCAGCCAGCAUUUGGUAUCAAUCUUCCGAUCUGGAGCCAACUGCCUGGAACCCCUUCCUGAUUGCUUACCUAGCCUUGCUCUCGAGUACUCAUCUUCAUCAUUUUAUGCUUUCUCUUCGUCUACCACAUCUGCCUGGGGGACAGUAAGGGAAGUGAAAAUGAUACCUCGAAGCAUGUGGAGACAAUUCAGCUAGGAACAAGGAGAAAGAAAGCAAGAGGUGGGCACUUGGAAAGAUUGAAGAAAGAAACAGACCAACACCUUUCCCUCGUGCCUGCCCGUUGUGCAGAAGAAACAAGCAGAGAAGAAUGCAGCUUGCACAAUCAUCCCAGCGGAAGGAGUCCGAACUGAGGAACUAGAGAAGCUGCCACAUCUGCUUGGAGAAUAAAUAAGGAACUGCAACAUAACCAAAGAGCAAAGCUUCGCCGUACAAUAUCAUAAAAUCAUCACUUGCAAGUGAAAAGCUAAGUGUCACCCUGUUCAAGAGGAAAGCUGUGGAAAGUCAACAAGCACGACCAAUGAUUACUUAUUAGUUUUAAUUCAUUAUCUUUUAUCGUAAUUUUCAAUUUUUCGUUUGCAAUUUUUUUUUAAUUAAUUUUCUUGCGUACUUAACUGAAUUAUUUCUUUUCUUUGCAGGAACUUUUGGUUAUUUCCACCCUUGAAGUUGAUUGCAGAAUUUUAGCUUGGGGGUCAUCGCUUGAUUUUACUGCAAAUUAGGGAAGUUUUCAGUCCAAUUGCUUUAUUUUGUUUUUUUAUUAUUUUGUUUAUUUUAUUUAUUUUUGCAUUAUAGUGUUUUCUGACAUUGGGGACAAUGUCAAGUUUAAGUGUGGGGGUAGAAAUCUCCAGAAUUUCAUUUGUCUCUGUGUUGUUGUUUUUUUUUUGUGUUCUUAAUUAGUUUUGUUUUCUUUAAAAAAAAAAAAUUAAAAAAAUUUCGGAAAAUUUAAAAUCCAAAAAUAUUGUCUUGUUUCCCUUAUUGUUUUGAAUUAGAUUUUUGUUAGUUUCCCGACCCAAUGAUAUAAUUAGAUCAAAUUUGAAUCACGAUUAUCAAGAACUUAGUUAACAUGUGUUUUAUGAAAUUCCUAAUUCUCUUGUUAGUUUUGUACAUGUUUGAUCAUCUUUGAAAAACCAAAUGCACAUAGCCUUGUUGAUGUGAAACUAAAGUAUGACUUAAAGCUUCAUAUGUGAAUUUAGUGACCAUAUACAUCCUAUGUGAGUUUUUGAGCCGAUUGAAAGUGUGUGCAUUUUUCAUACACUCCUAUUCUUUCAUGUGUGAUGAACUUAUGUGAGAUACAUCUCUAGAACUUGCGUAACGAUCUUUCGAAAUGUUUGUCAUUGAUUGCAUGAACUUGGAAAUGAUAGAGGCAUUAGGUUUACCACCAUGGCCCAAAUAACCAUGUUUCCCAAAGAAAAAUGAUAUCAUUAGAUUGCCAAUUUGAGCCGUGUAUGUUGAGCCUUUUAUUUCUUAUCACCAGAUAUGUCUACCCUUAUACCUGAAACAUUUUUCCUUACCCUUUCCAAGUGAGCAAUGCGAAAUUGUCUUAUGAGAAACGUUUGUGAAGUACUGUGAAGAUGUUUGGCAAAAGAAUAAGUGUGGGGGUAUUUCAUGUUUGUGAUUAAAAAAAAAAAAAAAAAAAAAAAAAAAAAAAAAAAAAAGAUUGUAUAAAAAAAAAAAUAAAAAGUUUUUAAAGUUCAGUUUAAGAGUAUGGUUGGAGGUGCUAGAAGAAUUGCUGGAGAGCUUGAGUUCUUAUAAAUCUAAAGAAAAGAAUUGCUUGAAAUGUAGCUUGGAACUUGUGUUUUCCUAUUCUUUCGUUUCAAUAACCCUAUCCCUAAGCCUCAUUACAUCCAAUAAAAGUCCUCUUGAUUUAAGUUUUGCAAUUAUGACUGUGGAGAAGUGAUCUUUAUGCAAGCUUAUGGUAGAAAUUUCACAUUUUUCUUUGAGCGAAACACACUAAAACUAAACACAUAUGUGAUUGAGUGUAUAUCCCGUGAGAAGGUUACUAGUUUGCAUAUGAUGAUUUUAAAAAUAAAAACUUGAAAUUGCAUUAGCAUGGCUAUCUCACACACUACACUUCAAGGAUGAUUCAAAGAUUACUGCUAAUAUUUGAAUAAGGAAGAUGAACUUGGAUUAGUUCCUUGAUGCUAGCUAUGGUUCUUGAUGAUUUGUUUUCUUGAAUGAAAUUCUAUGAGGGUCACAUAGGGGGAAACUAAUGUUUUUCAUGUUAGUACUUUUUUCUAGUUUUCUUGGUUUUGCUCGAGGACUAGCAAAAAGUUAAGUGUGGGGGUAUUUGAUCGGAUCAUAUUUAUAUAUAUUUUUUACUUCGAAUUCACUCGUCUUUUCUUAGUUAGUUCCUUAUAUUUUUGAGCUAUUUACGUUAUUUUUGUGUUUAUAGGAUUUGUUAUGCAAAGAAAAAAAAUAAAAAUAGAAUAAGUGAAAUUUUAUUCGUGAAAAGCAAAUUUAAAUUACAAUAUUGCUAAACCAUUGUGACGCUAAAUGAUAAACCAAUAUUUAAACUUUAUAUUUCAUCAUUUUAUAUUUCUUUUCUUGUCUAAUUUAUUUGAAAGCUUUAAGUAUUUAUGAUACUUUUGAUAUAUUGUGUUUGUAGGAGUAACAUGAUCCAAAGAACUUAUUUUUCUGCUAUGUGGGGCUGCUAGAAACUAAAUGAAAAUAAAAGGAGAGCAUCGGGAGGAGAAUAUAGAGGAAAGCAAGCUGCCUUUGCAGCUGGAGGAAAGCAGGUCAGCGACAAAGGGAUCCAAGGAAGUCAGAAGAAUUAGGGGACAGCAACUGGCAAAGCAGAGAAAAUGGAGGAGUCCACACGGGGGACGGAAAAAGAAUCCAAAGAAGGGGAAAAAGACUGACAGCUCGCAGAAGAAGGGGGGCCUCGGUGAGAAAGGAUAAGAAGACGCAGGAGAAGAGAGAGAGAGUAGGGCGGUCUUGGGAGCUGGAGAAGGGGCGCUGCCUUUGGCAGCGAGAGAGGAUUGCAGGGAGGCUGCUUUGGAGCAGCGUGAGAAAAGAAAGAAAAAAAAAACAGAAUAAAAAAAUAAAAGAAAGGCAGACUGCUGCCUUGCGGCAGCAGAAAACCGAAGAGGAGAGAAGCAGGAAGCUGCCUUAGGCAGCGUGAGGGCAGAAGAACAGAGGCAGGGGAGAGACUGACGCGAGAGGACAGGGAAGACUAAGUGUGCGAAAAAAAAAAAAAAGAAAUAAGAAGAUAGAAGCAGAGAGACUGACGAGAGAGGCAGUGUGCAGAAAACAGAGAGGACAGACCGAGGGCAGAAGCAGCAAGCACUCUCCUCUCUCUCGGUUAAAUCUUUCUAAAUCUAUAUUUUAUUUCUGUUUUAAUAAUGUGUAAUUAAAUUUUAUUUUGGCUAGAGGUUAAUUCAAAACCAUGAAUAUAUUUGUAAUAUGAAUUGAUUACCUUCGGUUGUGAUUUCAUAAGUUGUGAUUUCAAUUUACUUAUCCGUUCGUAUAAAAA
Molecule: long non-coding RNA, 7889 nt
Filed under: Malus domestica (apple)
Lineage: Eukaryota; Viridiplantae; Streptophyta; Magnoliopsida; Rosales; Rosaceae
Description: long non-coding RNA (MDOM_LNC010730)
Source: RNAcentral